This 446-nucleotide ribosomal RNA is filed under the name uncultured bacterium. RNAcentral describes it as "partial 16S ribosomal RNA". It matches the Rfam family "Bacterial small subunit ribosomal RNA", at positions 338 to 795 of the family's 1533-position model. The record is from RNAcentral.
CCUACGGGAGGCUGCAGUCGAGAAUCAUUCACAAUGGGGGAAACCCUGAUGUUGCGACGCCGCGUGGGGGAAUGAAGGUCUUCGGAUUGUAAACCCCUGUCAUGUGGGAGCAAAUUAAAAAGCUUGUACCACAAGAGGAAGAGACGGCUAACUCUGUGCCAGCAGCCGCGGUAAUACAGAGGUCUCAAACGUUGUUCGGAACCACUGGGCGUAAAGCGUGCGUAGGCUGUUUCGUAAGUCGUGUGUGAAAGGCGCGGGCUCAACCCGCGGACGGCACAUGAUACUGCGAGACUAGAGUAAGGGAGGGGGAAGCGGAAUUCUCGGUGUAGCAGUGAAAUGCGUAGAUAUCGAGAGGAACACUCGUGGCGAAGGCGGGUUCCUGGACAUUAACUGACGCUGAGGCACGAAGGCCAGGGGAGCGAAAGGGAUUAGAUACCCUAGUAGUC